This is a long non-coding RNA of Canis lupus familiaris (dog), 2105 nucleotides long. RefSeq lists it as uncharacterized. The transcript is spliced from 4 exons. The record is from RefSeq and is a predicted model, not a curated record. NCBI's taxonomy places the organism in Eukaryota, Metazoa, Chordata, Mammalia, Carnivora, Canidae.
CCAUGUUCACCAACCUAAAAGCUCUCCAACCCCAUCCUUUUGGUUUUGUGGAGGCUUUGUUACAUGGGCAUGAUUGAUUAAAUCAUUGACCAUUGGUGACUGAACUGGAGAUGAGGGGAGGGGACUGAAAGUUCCAACCCUCUAACCACUUGGCAACCAGCCUCCAUCCUUAUGUGACCUCCUCUGCAAAGGUCAGCUGAUUAACAUAACAAAAGGCAGUUUAACUGUUUUCAUCACUGGAAAUUCCACGUGUUUUAGGAGCUCUAUGCCAGGGUUGGGGAUGAAGACCAAGGAAGGAUAUGCUUCAUAUUAUAAAUCAGAAUCUCACAGUAGGAAAAUUGAUAAAAUUCAAAUAAGAUCUCAAGAUUAGUUUAAAGUAUUGGAUCAAUGAUAAUAUUUUGGUUUCAAUAAUUUUACUAUGAUUUUACAAGAUGUUAACAUUAGGGGAAGAUGGGUGAAGGAUACAUAGGAACUUUGUGCUAUUUUUGCAACUUUUCCUUGAGUCAUUUCAGACUAAAAGGUUAAGCAAUAUAUUUACUGAGUAUCUAUUCUGUGCUAUUCUCUGAGCUGAGGAGACAGUGGUGAACAAGACACGGACAUUGCCCUAGGAGACUUAGAGCUUGGUCUGCAACAGGACAAGUAACUGAGGCCCUGUAAGUAUCCGUGAUUGGCCUCUAGUCAUUGAGGAGCAAAUAGAGCAGUGGAGAUCCAGCCCAGGUGUGCACGACCCCAGCUCUUCCUCUCUUUAUGAUCGUAAACAUCACAUCUGAUGAACCAUCAAUCCCUGUCAGCUUCAUGUCUCCAGCAAACCUGGCACCCAUUUUUGGCCAGCCACAUGAGAAACACAAAGACAAGGACGCUGUUAUUCCUCUGGGACACCUCCCCUGCAGGAAAAGAGUGCUGGACACACACAGGUUACGCAGGGCAAGCCUUCCUUCACCACAGGGUCAGAGCACCCGACACCUGGUCCCUGGUCCCUCAGCCGCUCUGCACCCAGACUUCCAGGCACCAGGGAUAUGUCAUUGAAGAAAGCGUCAACAAUGCCUUCACGAGCUUGCAUUUGAUAGGAGACACUGAACGGCGACAACCUAAAGGAGCACAUACAUAGCAAGUAGAUGCUUCUUUCCCGUGAUGUUGAGUAUGGGGUCCUCCAUUUGUCUUUGCUAGAUUUCCACUUCUCUCUGCCUCACUGGUGGGUUGUAUUCCUUCCGGGAACUUCACAUACUUCAGUACACUUGGUUGAUUAAAAACAUUCUUUCCAUAAACAUCAAUACACUGGCAAGGAUUUUUGUAGCAGAAACUUUAAAAAAUGAAAUUUCAGGCUGUUUUCUGUUUGGAGGCUGAGCAUCUGGGAGAGGCGACAUUAAGGGUGCAUGAAGUCACAGACACACAUGGAUGGCCCUCUUUGCAACGUCGUCCCAGAUGCCGACAGAGCAUUGCACCCGGUCUAACGACUGCCCUAGCUGUAAUGCCCGUGCAAUGAUGCAUUUGCAGAACCUCUCUCAUCUCAUUAGAACCCGUGGUGCACCGUGUGCUGUCAGUGCUGGUGACCAACUGGUGCGCAUUUUAGAACAGGGGAUUUUAGGGUGAAGACUGAAACCAGAGAUCCAACAUCUCUUUCUGUGAACACAGCAUCCUGUGUGAGACAUCAACCCCUCUUUAUGGCCUUCUAGGUCACAGAGUGAGUAAAUGCACUGGGUACCAGGGUUGCUGGACAUCCUUCCCCCCAGGAUUGCUGGUCACUCAAGGUGAAUCGUCCUGGUGAAAAGGAGAGAAUGUGUAGUUAGAUCAGCAAAUCCAGAGGGCCAGCCCCACCACUUAUGAACCGUGUGUCUGAGUCUCCUGUUUCUCAUCUAUAAAACACGAACACAUUUUUUCUGAAGAAUUAUUUUAGAGAGAGAUCAAGAGGGCAUGAGUGGGGGUAGAGGGAGAGAACGUCAAGCCAACUCCCCACUGAGCGCGGAGACCGUGAGCCUGAGAUCAUGACCUAAGCUGAAGUCGGAUGCUUAACCGGAGGAGCCAUCCAGGUGUCCCCUUACCUAUGUUUCGAUAAAUAAAUGACAACAUGUGCUUUUAUAAACUGGUGACUUACUAUCUUGUAUGAA